CAGGCCUAACACAUACAAGUCGAGCGGGGANCAAUCCUAGCGGCGGACGGGUUAGUAACGCGUGGGAACNUACCCUUUGGUACGGAAUAGCCUCGGGAAACUGAGAGUAAUACCGUAUGUGCCCUUCGGGGGGAAANAUUUAUCGCCAAAGGAUUGGCCCGNGUCCGAUUAGCUAGUUGGUGAGGUAACGGCUCACCAAGGCUACGAUCGGUAGCUGGUCUGAGAGGAUGAUCAGCCACAUUGGGACUGAGACACGGCCCAAACUCCUACGGGAGGCAGCAGUGGGGAAUAUUGGACAAUGGGCGCAAGCCUGAUCCAGCCAUGCCGCGUGAGUGAUGAAGGCCUUAGGGUUGUAAAGCCCUUUUGUCCGGGAAGAUAAUGACUGUACCGGAAGAAUAAGCCCGGCUAACUUCGUG
RNAcentral lists this ribosomal RNA (416 nucleotides) under uncultured bacterium. RNAcentral describes it as "bacterial SSU rRNA". It matches the Rfam family "Bacterial small subunit ribosomal RNA", at positions 43 to 507 of the family's 1533-position model. The record is from RNAcentral.